AUUGAACGCUGGCGGCAUGCCUUACACAUGCAAGUCGAACGGCAGCACGGGAGCAAUCCUGGUGGCGAGUGGCGAACGGGUGAAUAAUAUAUCGGAACGUGCCCAGUAGUGGGGGACAACCAGUCGAAAGAUUGGCUAAUACCGCAUACGCACUGAGGUGGAAAGCGGGGGAUCGCACGACCUCGCGCUACUGGAGCGGCCGAUAGCAGAGUAGGUAGCUGGUGGGGUAAAGGCUCACCAAGCCGACGAUCUGUAGCUGGUCUGAGGGGACGACCAGCCACACUGGGACUGAGACGCGGCCCAGACUCCUACGGGAGGCAGCAGUGGGGAAUUUUGGACAAUGGGCGAAAGCCUGAUCCAGCCAUGCCGCGUGUGGGAAGAAGGCCUUCGGGUUGUAAACCACUUUUGUCAGGGAAGAAACGGUUUAGGCUAAUACUCUGAACUAAUGACGGUACCUGAAGAAUAAGCACCGGCUAACUACGUGCCAGCCGCCGCCGUAA
This 500-nucleotide ribosomal RNA is filed under the name uncultured bacterium. RNAcentral's name for it is "partial 16S ribosomal RNA". It matches the Rfam family "Bacterial small subunit ribosomal RNA", at positions 29 to 523 of the family's 1533-position model. The record is from RNAcentral.